AAAAAAUUUAAAUGAGUUUGAUCCUGACUCAGAAUGAAUGCUAGCAAUAUGUCUAACACAUGCAAGUUGAACGAAAUCUCUAAAUUAGAGGUAAAGUAGCGUACGGGUGAGUAAUGUAUGGGUUAUAAUUUGACGAGAUCAGAAUACGUAUAUAAUGAAAAUUAGAAUAGUACAUAGUAAUAUGUACUAAAUACAAAUACUGAAUACCCAAAGGAUUAUGAUAUCGCUUGUUAAAUAGCCCAUAUAGGAUUAGGUAGUUGGGGAUUGGUAAUAGCUCACCAAGCCUAUGAUCCUUAGCUGGUCUGAGAGGAUGAUCAGCCACAUUGGGACUGAAACACGGCCCAAACUUUAUAUGAAGGCAGCAGUGAAGAAUAUUGGACAAUGGGCGAAAGCCUGAUCCAGCAAUAUUGCGUGAAUGAUGAAGCCUUUUUUGGGUGUAAAGUUCUUUUUUUAGGGAAGAUAAUGACUGUACCUAAAGAAUAAGUCCUGGCUAACUCUGUGCCAGCAGCCGCGGUAAUACAGAGAGGACUAGCAUUAUUCGGAAUUACUGGGCGUAAAGGGUAUGUAGGUGGUAGAUACGAUGUUGAUUGUGAAAUCUUAAUAUUUAUAUAUUAAAAAUGCAUUCAAGACUAAUCUACUUGAGUUUGAGAGGGGGUAAUAGAAUUCUUAGUUAAGAGGUAAAAUUCGCAAAACUUAAGAAGAAUUUCAUAAAGCGAAGGCGAUUACCUAGAUCAAUACUGACAUUGAAAUACUAAAGUAUGGGGAGCAAAUUGGAUUAGAUACCCACGUAGUCCAUACUGUAAAUGAUGAUUGUUAAACAUCGGAUAUUAAAUUCGGUGUUGUAGUUAACACAUUAAACAAUCCGCCUGGGAAGUACUAUCGCAAGAUUGAAACUUAAAGGAAUUGACGGGGACUCACACAAACGGUGGAGCAUGUGGUUUAAUUCGAUAAAACGCGAAAAACCUUACCAGUUUUUGAAUAAUAGAAUUUUUUGAUUUAACGAUUAAAAAAUAAUAUCUAUUACAAGUGUUGCAUGGCUGUCGUAAGCUCGUGUCGUGAGAUGUUUGGUUAGGUCCUGUAACGAGCGCAACCCUUUUAUUUAGUUAUAUUUAAUAUCUAAAUAGACUGCCUAUUAUAAGUAGGAGGAAGGCGAGGAUGACGUCAAGUCUUCAUGACCUUUAUAAGCUGGGCUACACACGUGCUACAAUGGUAAAAACAAAAGGAUGCAAUUAUGUGAAUAGGAGCAAAUCCUCAAAUUUUACCUCAGUUCAGAUUGUUUUCUGCAAUUCGAAAACAUGAAGUUGGAAUCGUUAGUAAUCGCAGAUCAGCAUGCUGCGGUGAAUAUGUUCUUGGGUCUUGUACACACCGCCCGUCACGCCAUGGAAAUUAACUUAAUUUGAAGUUAGAUUUAUGAUAUGAAGCAAUAUAAAUAUUUUUUGAAAUGGAUUUUUUAUCUCAAGGUAUUAUAUUUCUUUGUAUCAUCAUCUAAUAAUAAUUAAUUAGUAACUGGGGUGAAGUCGUAACAAGGUAGUCGUAGGGGAACCUGUGGCUGGAUUACCUCUUA
This 1564-nucleotide ribosomal RNA is filed under the name Malawimonas californiana (nom. ined.). Its description in RNAcentral is "SSU rRNA". It matches the Rfam family "Bacterial small subunit ribosomal RNA". Lineage: Eukaryota; Malawimonada; Malawimonadea; Malawimonadida; Malawimonadidae. The record is from RNAcentral.